Molecule: ribosomal RNA, 2340 nt
Filed under: Salmonella enterica
Lineage: Bacteria; Pseudomonadati; Pseudomonadota; Gammaproteobacteria; Enterobacterales; Enterobacteriaceae
Description: partial 23S ribosomal RNA
Rfam family: Bacterial large subunit ribosomal RNA
Source: RNAcentral
GUAUAAUGGGUCAGCGACUUAUAUUCUGUAGCAAGGUUAACCGAAUAGGGGAGCCGGAGGGAAACCGAGUCUUAACCGGGCGUUAAGUUGCAGGGUAUAGACCCGAAACCCGGUGAUCUAGCCAUGGGCAGGUUGAAGGUUGGGUAACACUAACUGGAGGACCGAACCGACUAAUGUUGAAAAAUUAGCGGAUGACCUGUGGCUGGGGGUGAAAGGCCAAUCAAACCGGGAGAUAGCUGGUUCUCCCCGAAAGCUAUUUAGGUAGCGCCUCGUGAACUCAUCUCCGGGGGUAGAGCACUGUUUCGGCUAGGGGGCCAUCCCGGCUUACCAACCCGAUGCAAACUGCGAAUACCGGAGAAUGUUAUCACGGGAGACACACGGCGGGUGCUAACGUCCGUCGUGAAGAGGGAAACAACCCAGACCGCCAGCUAAGGUCCCAAAGUCAUGGUUAAGUGGGAAACGAUGUGGGAAGGCCCAGACAGCCAGGAUGUUGGCUUAGAAGCAGCCAUCAUUUAAAGAAAGCGUAAUAGCUCACUGGUCGAGUCGGCCUGCGCGGAAGAUGUAACGGGGCUAAACCAUGCACCGAAGCUGCGGCAGCGACACUCAGGUGUUGUUGGGUAGGGGAGCGUUCUGUAAGCCUGCGAAGGUGGCCUGUGAGGGUUGCUGGAGGUAUCAGAAGUGCGAAUGCUGACAUAAGUAACGAUAAAGCGGGUGAAAAGCCCGCUCGCCGGAAGACCAAGGGUUCCUGUCCAACGUUAAUCGGGGCAGGGUGAGUCGACCCCUAAGGCGAGGCCGAAAGGCGUAGUCGAUGGGAAACGGGUUAAUAUUCCCGUACUUGGUGUUACUGCGAAGGGGGGACGGAGAAGGCUAUGUUGGCCGGGCGACGGUUGUCCCGGUUUAAGCGUGUAGGUGUGUGUUCCAGGUAAAUCCGGUUCACUUUAACACUGAGGCGUGAUGACGAGGCACUACGGUGCUGAAGCAACAAAUGCCCUGCUUCCAGGAAAAGCCUCUAAGCAUCAGGUAACAUCAAAUCGUACCCCAAACCGACACAGGUGGUCAGGUAGAGAAUACCAAGGCGCUUGAGAGAACUCGGGUGAAGGAACUAGGCAAAAUGGUGCCGUAACUUCGGGAGAAGGCACGCUGACACGUAGGUGAAGUGAUUUACUCAUGGAGCUGAAGUCAGUCGAAGAUACCAGCUGGCUGCAACUGUUUAUUAAAAACACAGCACUGUGCAAACACGAAAGUGGACGUAUACGGUGUGACGCCUGCCCGGUGCCGGAAGGUUAAUUGAUGGGGUCAGCGCAAGCGAAGCUCCUGAUCGAAGCCCCGGUAAACGGCGGCCGUAACUAUAACGGUCCUAAGGUAGCGAAAUUCCUUGUCGGGUAAGUUCCGACCUGCACGAAUGGCGUAAUGAUGGCCAGGCUGUCUCCACCCGAGACUCAGUGAAAUUGAACUCGCUGUGAAGAUGCAGUGUACCCGCGGCAAGACGGAAAGACCCCGUGAACCUUUACUAUAGCUUGACACUGAACAUUGAGCCUUGAUGUGUAGGAUAGGUGGGAGGCUUUGAAGUGUGGACGCCAGUCUGCAUGGAGCCGGCCUUGAAAUACCACCCUUUAAUGUUUGAUGUUCUAACGUGGACCCGUGAUCCGGGUUGCGGACAGUGUCUGGUGGGUAGUUUGACUGGGGCGGUCUCCUCCUAAAGAGUAACGGAGGAGCACGAAGGUUGGCUAAUCCUGGUCGGACAUCAGGAGGUUAGUGCAAUGGCAUAAGCCAGCUUGACUGCGAGCGUGACGGCGCGAGCAGGUGCGAAAGCAGGUCAUAGUGAUCCGGUGGUUCUGAAUGGAAGGGCCAUCGCUCAACGGAUAAAAGGUACUCCGGGGAUAACAGGCUGAUACCGCCCAAGAGUUCAUAUCGACGGCGGUGUUUGGCACCUCGAUGUCGGCUCAUCACAUCCUGGGGCUGAAGUAGGUCCCAAGGGUAUGGCUGUUCGCCAUUUAAAGUGGUACGCGAGCUGGGUUUAGAACGUCGUGAGACAGUUCGGUCCCUAUCUGCCGUGGGCGCUGGAGAACUGAGGGGGGCUGCUCCUAGUACGAGAGGACCGGAGUGGACGCAUCACUGGUGUUCGGGUUGUCAUGCCAAUGGCACUGCCCGGUAGCUAAAUGCGGAAGAGAUAAGUGCUGAAAGCAUCUAAGCACGAAACUUGCCCCGAGAUGAGUUCUCCCUGAGACUUUAGGUCUCCUGAAGGAACGUUGAAGACGACGACGUUGAUAGGCCGGGUGUGUAAGCGCAGCGAUGCGUUGAGCUAACCGGUACUAAUGAACCGUGAGGCUUAACCUUACA